RNAcentral lists this ribosomal RNA (433 nucleotides) under uncultured bacterium. RNAcentral describes it as "partial 16S ribosomal RNA". It matches the Rfam family "Bacterial small subunit ribosomal RNA", at positions 29 to 507 of the family's 1533-position model. The record is from RNAcentral.
AACGAACGCUGGCGGCAUGCCUAACACAUGCAAGUCGAACGAGACCUUCGGGCCUAGUGGCGCACGGGUGCGUAACGCGUGGGAAUCUGCCCUUGGGUUCGGAAUAACAGUUGGAAACGACUGCUAAUACCGGAUGAUGACGUAAGUCCAAAGAUUUAUCGCCCAGGGAUGAGCCCGCGUAGGAUUAGCUAGUUGGUGGGGUAAAGGCCUACCAAGGCGACGAUCCUUAGCUGGUCUGAGAGGAUGAUCAGCCACACUGGGACUGAGACACGGCCCAGACUCCUACGGGAGGCAGCAGUGGGGAAUAUUGGACAAUGGGCGAAAGCCCGAUACAGCAAUGCCGCGUGAGUGAUGAAGGCCUUAGGGUUGUAAAGCUCUUUUACCCGGGAUGAUAAUGACAGUACCGGGAGAAUAAGCCCCGGCUAACUCCGUG